Molecule: ribosomal RNA, 301 nt
Filed under: uncultured bacterium
Lineage: Bacteria
Description: partial 16S ribosomal RNA
Rfam family: Bacterial small subunit ribosomal RNA
Source: RNAcentral
CAGCAGCCGCGGGAAUACGUAGGGUGCAAGCGUUAAUCGGAAUUACUGGGCGUAAAGCGUGCGCAGGCGGUUUGUUAAGACAGAUGUGAAAUCCCCGGGCUCAACCUGGGAACUGCAUUUGUGACUGGCAGGCUAGAGUAUGGCAGAGGGGGGUGGAAUUCCGCGUGUAGCAGUGAAAUGCGUAGAUAUGCGGAGGAACACCGAUGGCGAAGGCAGCCCCCUGGGCCAAUACUGACGCUCAUGCACGAAAGCGUGGGGAGCAAACAGGAUUAGAUACCCGUGUAGUCCCUGUCUCUUAUAC